This 541-nucleotide ribosomal RNA is filed under the name uncultured bacterium. Its description in RNAcentral is "bacterial SSU rRNA". It matches the Rfam family "Bacterial small subunit ribosomal RNA", at positions 355 to 911 of the family's 1533-position model. The record is from RNAcentral.
UGGGGAAUCUUGGACAAUGGGGGCAACCCUGAUCCAGCCAUGCCGCGUGAGUGAUGAAGGCCUUAGGGUCGUAAAGCUCUUUCGCCUGUGAAGAUAAUGACGGUAGCAGGUAAAGAAACCCCGGCUAACUCCGUGCCAGCAGCCGCGGUAAUACGGAGGGGGUUAGCGUUGUUCGGAAUUACUGGGCGUAAAGCGCACGUAGGCGGACCAGAAAGUUGGGGGUGAAAUCCCGGGGGCUCAACCCCGGAACUGCCUCCAAAACUAUUGGUCUAGAGUUCGAGAGAGGUGAGUGGAAUUCCAAGUGUAGAGGUGAAAUUCGUAGAUAUUUGGAGGAACACCAGUGGCGAAGGCGGCUCACUGGCUCGAUACUGACGCUGAGGUGCGAAAAGUGUGGGGAGCAAACAGGAUUAGAUACCCUGGUAGUCCACACCGUAAAACGAUGAAUGCCAGUCGUCGGGUAGCAUGCUAUUCGGUGACACACCUAACGGAUUAAGCAUUCCGCUGGGGAGUACGGUCGCAAGAUUAAAACUCAAAAUGAAUU